RNAcentral lists this ribosomal RNA (423 nucleotides) under uncultured Glomeraceae. Its description in RNAcentral is "SSU rRNA". It matches the Rfam family "Eukaryotic small subunit ribosomal RNA", at positions 459 to 886 of the family's 1831-position model. The record is from RNAcentral. Lineage: Eukaryota; Fungi; Glomeromycota; Glomeromycetes; Glomerales; Glomeraceae.
GGGAGGUAGGUGACAAUAAAUAACAAUACGGGGUUCUUUAGGAUCUCGUAAUUGGAAUGAGUACAAUUUAAAUCUCUUAACGAGGAACAAUUGGAGGGCAAGUCUGGUGCCAGCAGCCGCGGUAAUUCCAGCUCCAAUAGCGUAUAUUAAAGUUGUUGCAGUUAAAAAGCUCGUAGUUGAAUUUCGAGAUCGGCUUACUGGUCGUGCUAUUGUACGUACUGGUAUAAUCGGUUUCUCCUUUCUGACGAACUAUAAUGCCAUUAAUUUGGUGUUUUAGGGAAUCAGGACUGUUACUUUGAAAAAAUUAGAGUGUUUAAAGCAGGCUCACGCUUGAAUACAUUAGCACGGAAUAACGGAAUAGGACGUUUGAUUCUAUUUUGUUGGUUUCUAGGAUCGACGUAAUGAUUAAUAGGGAUAGUUGGG